Molecule: ribosomal RNA, 453 nt
Filed under: uncultured organism
Description: partial 16S ribosomal RNA
Rfam family: Bacterial small subunit ribosomal RNA
Source: RNAcentral
GUACACUCCUGCGGGAGGCAACAGUGGGGAAUAUUGGACAAUGGGCGCAAGCCUGAUCCAGCCAUGCCGCGUGAGUGAUGAAGGCCCUAGGGUUGUAAAGCUCUUUCACCGGUGAAGAUAAUGACGGUAACCGGAGAAGAAGCCCCGGCUAACUUCGUGCCAGCAGCCGCGGUAAUACGAAGGGGGCUAGCGUUGUUCGGAUUUACUGGGCGUAAAGCGCACGUAGGCGGACUAUUAAGUCAGGGGUGAAAUCCCGGGGCUCAACCCCGGAACUGCCUUUGAUACUGGUAGUCUUGAGUUCGAGAGAGGUGAGUGGAAUUCCGAGUGUAGAGGUGAAAUUCGUAGAUAUUCGGAGGAACACCAGUGGCGAAGGCGGCUCACUGGCUCGAUACUGACGCUGAGGUGCGAAAGCGUGGGGAGCAAACAGGAUUAGAAACCCUAGUAGUCCCAUGA